CCUACGGGGGGCAGCAGUCGAGAAUCAUUCACAAUGGGGGAAACCCUGAUGGUGCGACGCCGCGUGGGGGAAUGAAGGUCUUCGGAUUGUAAACCCCUGUCAUGUGGGAGCAAAUUAAAAAGAUAGUACCACACGAGGAAGAGACGGCUAACUCUGUGCCAGCAGCCGCGGUAAUACAGAGGUCUCAAGCGGUGUUCGGAAUCACUGGGCGUAAAGCGUGCGUAGGCUGUUUCGUAAGUCGUGUGUGAAAGGCGCGGGCUCAACCCGCGGACGGCACAUGAUACUGCGAGACUAGAGUAAUGGAGGGGGAACCGGAAUUCGCGGUGUAGCAGUGAAAUGCGUAGAUAUCGAGAGGAACACUCGUGGCGAAGGCGGGUUCCUGGACAUUAACUGACGCUGAGGCACGAAGGCCAGGGGAGCGAAAGGGAUUAGAUACCCUAGUAGUC
RNAcentral lists this ribosomal RNA (446 nucleotides) under uncultured bacterium. Its description in RNAcentral is "partial 16S ribosomal RNA". It matches the Rfam family "Bacterial small subunit ribosomal RNA", at positions 338 to 795 of the family's 1533-position model. The record is from RNAcentral.